UGGGGAAUAUUGCACAAUGGGCGGAAGCCUGAUGCAGCGACGCCGCGUGGGGGAUGAAGGCCUUCGGGUUGUAAACUCCUUUCGACAGGGACGAAGCGUAAGUGACGGUACCUGUAUAAGAAGCACCGGCUAACUACGUGCCAGCAGCCGCGGUAAUACGUAGGGUGCGAGCGUUGUCCGGAAUUACUGGGCGUAAAGAGCUCGUAGGUGGUUUGUCGCGUCGUCUGUGAAAUUCCGGGGCUUAACUCCGGGCGUGCAGGCGAUACGGGCUGACUUGAGUGCUGUAGGGGAGACUGGAAUUCCUGGUGUAGCGGUGAAAUGCGCAGAUAUCAGGAGGAACACCGAUGGCGAAGGCAGGUCUCUGGGCAGUAACUGACGCUGAGGAGCGAAAGCAUGGGUAGCGAACAGGAUUAGAUACCCUGGUAGUCCAUGCCGUNNNCGGUGGGCGCUAGGUGUAGGGGGCUUCCACGUCUUCUGUGCCGUAGCUAACGCAUUAAGCGCCCCGCCUGGGGAGUACGGCCGCAAGGCUA
Molecule: ribosomal RNA, 530 nt
Filed under: uncultured bacterium
Lineage: Bacteria
Description: bacterial SSU rRNA
Rfam family: Bacterial small subunit ribosomal RNA
Source: RNAcentral